This 432-nucleotide ribosomal RNA is filed under the name uncultured bacterium. RNAcentral's name for it is "bacterial SSU rRNA". It matches the Rfam family "Bacterial small subunit ribosomal RNA", at positions 246 to 675 of the family's 1533-position model. The record is from RNAcentral.
UAGUUGGUGAGGUAACGGCUCACCAAGGCAAUGAUCUUUAGGGGGCCUGAGAGGGUGAUCCCCCACACUGGUACUGAGACACGGACCAGACUCCUACGGGAGGCAGCAGUGAGGAAUAUUGGUCAAUGGGUGCAAGCCUGAACCAGCCAUCCCGCGUGAAGGACGACUGCCCUAUGGGUUGUAAACUUCUUUUGUAUAGGGAUAAACCUUUCCACGUGUGGAAAGCUGAAGGUACUAUACGAAUAAGCACCGGCUAACUCCGUGCCAGCAGCCGCGGUAAUACGGAGGGUGCAAGCGUUAUCCGGAUUUAUUGGGUUUAAAGGGUCCGUAGGCGGACUUAUAAGUCAGUGGUGAAAGCCUGUCGCUUAACGAUAGAACUGCCAUUGAUACUGUAAGUCUUGAGUAUAUUUGAGGUAGCUGGAAUAAGUAGUG